UACGUAGGGUGCGAGCGUUAAUCGGAAUUACUGGGCGUAAAGCGUGCGUAGGCGGUCCGCUGUGUCCCGUGUGAAAGCCCCGGGCUCAACCUGGGAAUUGCAUGGGAAACUGGCGGGCUUGAGUGCGGCAGAGGGGGGUGGAAUUCCGCGUGUAGCAGUGAAAUGCGCAGAUAUCAGGAGGAACACCGGUGGCGAAGGCGGGACUCUGGGCCGAUACUGACGCUGAGGAGCGAAAGCGUGGGGAGCGAACAGG
This 253-nucleotide ribosomal RNA is filed under the name uncultured bacterium. Its description in RNAcentral is "partial 16S ribosomal RNA". It matches the Rfam family "Bacterial small subunit ribosomal RNA", at positions 524 to 776 of the family's 1533-position model. The record is from RNAcentral.